GUCCUCACUUCGCUGGCACAGAUACUAAGAUUGGAACAAUGUGGAGAUGAUUAGCAUGGCCCCUGCACAAGGAUGACACACAAAUUUGUGAAGCUUUUCAUAUUUUU
This is a small nuclear RNA of Cebus imitator (Panamanian white-faced capuchin), 107 nucleotides long. NCBI's taxonomy places the organism in Eukaryota, Metazoa, Chordata, Mammalia, Primates, Cebidae. The record is from RefSeq and is a predicted model, not a curated record.